This 149-nucleotide small RNA is filed under the name Arabidopsis thaliana (thale cress). RNAcentral describes it as "ATSL024580". Lineage: Eukaryota; Viridiplantae; Streptophyta; Magnoliopsida; Brassicales; Brassicaceae. The record is from RNAcentral.
AACAUAAUAGAAAAAGUAAGAAUUUAAAAUCUUAUUAUAUAAAGUACGGUUUUGAAAGUUACUAACUCACGAGAUCAUGACACGUGUCAGGUCUAUCAUUGAGAUGUUGACAUAUGUCAAAAAAAAUUCUUUAAAAAGAAAAAAUAAAC